This 237-nucleotide ribosomal RNA is filed under the name uncultured bacterium. RNAcentral's name for it is "partial 16S ribosomal RNA". It matches the Rfam family "Bacterial small subunit ribosomal RNA", at positions 540 to 776 of the family's 1533-position model. The record is from RNAcentral.
GUUGUCCGGAAUCAUUGGGCGUAAAGAGCGUGUAGGCGGUCCAGUAAGUCCGCUGUGAAAGUCAAGGGCUCAACCCUUGAAAGCCGGUGGAUACUGCUGGACUAGAGUCCGGAAGAGGCGAGUGGAAUUCCUGGUGUAGCGGUGAAAUGCGCAGAUAUCGGGAGGAACACCAAUGGCGAAGGCAGCUCGCUGGGACGGUACUGACGCUGAGGCGCGAAAGCGUGGGGAGCGAACAGG